Molecule: non-coding RNA, 11082 nt
Organism: Cyanistes caeruleus (blue tit)
Lineage: Eukaryota; Metazoa; Chordata; Aves; Passeriformes; Paridae
Source: RefSeq, a predicted model, not a curated record
UCUUACAAAUUGCAGAAGUUGAGGAGGACAGAGAAAUAAUUAAUGUAUUAAAACAAGCAGCGAAUUCCUCAGGAGGCACCUUAUCAACUCCAGCCACACUGGCUUCAUCCCUCCUCGUAUGCUAAUACCCCGUGACGUCAUCGGCGGCAGAUUGAAUGUGAAUCAGUUAUGAAAUUAUUAGUUUUAGCUUAAAAAGCAAUCUGGCUCUCCCGUGAGUGGGCUUUGCGUUGCUGCGGGUUCUCGCUCCGUGUCCUCCCCGUGUUAUGCACACACAGUAGUUGCGACUUUGCUGUCGCAAUGAAUCAAUAUUUCCAAAGCACACGUCCUAACAGGGGGUGAUGUAAAGAAACCCAUAGAUUAAUUGGGUCCCGUUUCUGAGUCGGCUGUGUCUUCCUUAUCGAUACACACUUUACACCCGAAACCAGACAGUCGGAUUUCCUCCUACUUUUCAGGGUAUGUGUGAUCUCCUCCCAUGAGAGGCAACUCAGCAGCUCGGUCCCCUCUGCCAUCUCAGCACUGCCAGUGGAGAAGCCCAGGAGGAGCAGAGCAGUGCCUGAGCAGCAAUUUGAAUAUCCAUAUUUAACUCUUCAAACAACAGAAGACACUUCAGAACCAUGUUAAGAAGGAUAAGCUUGGAGUGCCCAGUCACCGUGGUAACUGCCAGAAAAAUUCUCCUGAAGUUUGAAGAGGUCAGCUAACGGGGUCAACAACUCUGGCCUCUCUCUGAGCUGGGCCUGGCAGGCUCCAUCCUGCGGUUGGGGUGUUAGCGCAGGCUGAGCCCUGGGAGGUGGACCAUUCCAGCUCUGAUAUAAAUUUUUUGAGUCAGUUCACGGCCUGGACUCUCCAGGUGGCCUCCAAAAUCGAUUGUGACCUUGUGACCCUGUCUAACGGAGGCAUAGCAUCCAACCUAAGUAAGGAUUUAGCCAGGAACGACAGCUUUCCACUGAGUGUUAUUGGGGACAGUACAAACAGUUUGGGAAGCAAGGAGGUAGGUAUGAGGAGUAGAGGUCAUUAAAAGCAUAUUAAAAAACAAUUUUAAAAAUCCUUUUUAGUUGAAAGUUUUUAUUUGCAGUAGCCAUUCCUUAAAUAAAUCCUUCUGGUAACUAUUUUUUCCUUCUAUAAUAACUUUGUAUCAAGUGCUUCAGAGCAAUAAUACAUGAAAAAUUGUCACUUUGCAUAUUCCAAACCAAACUAAUAUUUUAUCUACCUCUGGAUUUUGAACUUGUAAAUGAAGCUGACUGGCAUGUGUUAAACUAAAUGUCUAUGAAGUGUUUUUUUUCUUAAUAUCAUACAAACUAGGAGACUGGUUUUUAAAAUGGGCUAUUUAUUUUAGAUAGCAUUUUCCCUAAUAUGUGCAUUCUUUUUAGAUUCAAAAGUCUCCUAAUCCCUGUAAUCUAUUUUUAAACUAGGAAGUUAGGUAACAUUCAGAAUAGUGUGGAAUGAAAAUGUGUGAGUUUCACAGUUUUCCUUUACUGGUUUGCAGUACAAACAGAAAAGCUACAAAACUAAUUAUGUAUUUUUAUUGGAAAAAAACCUGAUCAUGAUAAGAUCAUAUUAAUAGAGAACAUGAUAUUUUUUUUUCCUUUAAGAUUUUAAGCAACAAACUAUGUGAGGAAUGGAGGGGCUGUUGCAGAUUUCUGAUUUUGUUGUUGAAUCUAGAAACUUGCCAUUUGAGCAAGUGGAUUUGCUCUUGUGUUUUAUUCCCACUGCUACAAGACCUCGUGCAUUGCUCACAUGAGUAAUUGGUAAUUGUCAGAUCUAUUGGCCAAGGUCCUGUCUCUUAUAGGGUCAUCAUAAUCUGCUCCAGUGGGAGCAGGUUUGAACACCAGGGGUAAGAAAUGGGGCUGAAUUUUGCCAUAAAAUAAUUUAAGGCCCACACCUGCACAUUCAAAUAUCCAUAGUGACACUAUUUAAUUCUACCCUGAAUACUAAUAAUAGUUUGGUUUUGGUGGUCAUUUUUAACAGAGCUCUGCUGAAAAGAAUUUAUUCCCAUUAGGAAGCAUGUUGAUUCAGGGGAGUGGCUUGGGAGUUGAGCUUGGGGGGAUGAAAUUCACAGCCCUCAGUGAGAAUCAGAAUAUUAGCUUGUUUUUCAGGAAAAAAAAAUUAAAAUAGGACUGUAAAUAGCUGGAUGGUGAAUCUUCAAUAUUUUUAAAACCAUCUGGGUAAUUUUUUAUAUUUUUAAAAAUAUAUACUCAUAUCUGCUUUGUAUUGUCAACACUCAGGGACCAAGUUCUACCUGACAAACAGGGGAUCAUUUCUGAAAACAGAUAGAACUAUUCCACUGGAACUUUUGGACCAGAAAUGCCCCAAAUUUUCCCUAAAGCCUCCAGCUUGGAAUGAGGAAUUGUUGGCAGAGGCAACAAGGAGAUCUCAAGAGCUUUAACUUGCUGCAAAUUCUUUAGUGUUGACUUCUGUAGAUCUUAUGGAAUUUAUAAUCAGCUGCAAAUCUACAAAUGUCACUCAGAGUAGAUCCUGGUCUUGCAUGUUUUGUACCUCUUCACGUUGUUCAGUUCAUCCACAUCCAAGGAUUUGGAGUGCCUAGAGGUGCCUGUGUUAGCAGUAGCUGCAGUGGACAGUUCUUCCCCAUCAAUGCAGUGAAGCACUCACUCACAUUUGACUGCUUGGAAAACUCCCUGAAGUGCAGGCUCUUUGAGUUUCACCAGAGGGAUGUAUGUGAAUGAGCUUAGUGCUGUGUUAGAGAUAAACCAGCAGAAUCACCAAAGUCUGUGGUGGCUCCCAGCCCCUGCCCUAUGCACCACUGAUAACCCAUGAAGCCUUUCACUGCAGCUGGUCUGGGGAAUUGUAUUAAAUAGUAAUGUCCAUAGUCCUCAAUUACAAUUCUUUAUUAGAUGAGUAUGUGGCAGUCUGCAUGAAAAUCUGAGGUCUGAGGGUAGUCUGCUACCUGAAAGCUCAGAGGAUGUUUCCUGUACAGGAAUAUGUCUCAGGUCAUGGGCCAUGAGGUGUUGGGAGGUGUUUUGUUAAUGUUUUCAAAUUAAACACAUGCCCAGUUAAAUGAAUGUAUUUUAUUACUCAUACAAACAAACAAAACAACAACAACAACAAAAGAACUUCAAAAUAAGAUAAAUAAAAUAAAAGUGCUAAAUGGACGCUGAAGCCUCAGCCUAGUUCAUGUCUGCUUGUGUGCAAAGCCUGCAUUCCCAGUGUCUGCAGGGCCAAAGAAGCUCAGCUUUAGAGAGCAGCACGUUGCCGUGGCCUGGAUCAGGGCUGCCAAAGGUCUCUGGGUUCUGGAGGAAGCAGGGAGGGCAAAUGAGCACUGGGACCCACAGGUGUGCUGGCAAAAGGUCCUAAACAAGUGCUGCGCUUCCGUCUGCUUUUACUCCUUCCUCUCUGCCUUGAGAGUGUGUGGCUGGUGUCCAGAGGAAAAGUCAAACUAAUUCUGAUGCCUUUUCCUAUUCUGGGUGGACUAAUUCAGAGAAAGCACUUAUGGCUGCCUUUGUGGAAGGGUUACAGUAUAGGUUCAUACUUUAGGAACUGUAGGAAGUUCUUAAUCCUUCCCUGCCUAUGGGGCUGUCAUUUAUAGACUCGCUAUUGUCUCAUCUUUUAUAAAGAUGUUUCCUUACAUUAAGGUUGGAAGAGCAGCCAGACUUUGCCAUUGUUCACAGCUAUUUCUGUUUGUGGCUUAAUGCACAUCUAGUAUUCUGUUUAUGCUUUCACUGCUCUCCUACGCAGCAGACUGUACCUACACACCAGCUUAGGUGACAUCACUCUCAAAGCAUUCAUUUCUGUGUUUCUUUUUUUUCCCCUCCUGAUUUGUCUGUGCAUCUUGAUUUUGCAUUAGCCUAGUUUAUUAUAAGUAACCUGAUAAAAUACAUUGGAACUUUAUGCAUUUAGUUGUCAUUUCAUCUUCAUUUCUUGUUUGAUAAACUUGCUUAUAAAAAAAAGCUUUUAGGUUUUUGUUUUUUUUUAAUAACAGCAAAACCCCUCUUACAAUGUAAGAGGAAUGAAUUCAGCCAUGAGCAGAAAAAAAUUGAAGCAUAGAUCAUUUUGAAUGUGUAAAAUUUAGCUUGGUGUUAAUGGUGGUUUAAUUACUGAAUUUUUUUUUUGUUAUGGCUAUUCAUAAAGACAUCCAUUGUUUUCUGGUUUGAUUUAUGUCCAGAUUAGCCCCCUUCAGAACCUCAUUUCUGGCAAUCUCAGCAACAUGUGAGGGCCUGGCAGCUUGUGCAGACAUUGCCAUCUUCCCUCACUGCUCCUUCUCCUGAGCUGUUCCACCAGCUCCACAGUCUGCCAUUCCUCAGGAGCCCUUAAUGAUACCUCUUCUCCAUCAUCUGUUCCAUGGCCCUUCCAGAACCAGGUGCUUUUGUUGAAGUUUUCAAACCAAUUUAGAAAUAGAUACUGAAAUAAGGGCAGGUGAUGCGGUGGUGACAUUGUGUCACUGCCUUCCUGUCCUGCAUGGGAAGAUAACAGACCUCCAGAGCUCAGCUCUAUGGCCAUACAAUGAGAAUGAUAAAAACAACAUCUUUGCAAACCACUUAUAUGUCUGAAAAAUUUGAUGCAAAUUAAAAGCUACCUAGGUUGUGUCAAACCUAACUCUACCCAGCACUUCACCUUCUCCGCCGCCCUCUCAGCUGCUUGAGACUUGCCAAUAAGCCUUUCAGAGUCACUGCUUUUGCAUGGUGUCUUGCAAAAUGUGACAUUUGGGCUUUUAAACUGCCCUUGUGUCAUAACAUACAUAGCAACACUAAUAUAUCCUUUUUCCACAUGCAUCCUCACUUUGCUGGAAAAAAAAAAUCUCAAUUCUGAACAAACUACAAACAGCUUGCUGAUGCAGGGUGAGGAGUGCCCGGCAACCUUUGUGUGCUCAAGGCACAGCUUUAUCCCGGCCAUCAGUGGGACAGUGCACAUGGGAACGUGUGAUCUAUUCCUUCCUGAGCCCCAGUGAUGCCUUGCUUUGCAGUUCCUCUCGCUGGUUCUCAUAAUCCUGGCAAGAUGCUACAAACCCCACGUGACAAAGAUCACAGGGAAAUACUUGAAGAAACCUCUGCCAUUAGCUGUGCUGUAAGAUUUAUAAAAGGUUCAAUUUCAUAAAAUGCAAAUUCUGGACUAAUUGUUCCUCUGCAAGCCUUAAUGGUCUCUGAGCUGCAUAGUUAAUCUACUACCUGCCUCUACUCACGUAUCCAGCAGAAUUUAGAGCGGGGUAAAACACGCCUUCACACAUCAGUUACAUCUAUUUUAACUUUUCUUUUGACAAGUUCUGCUGAUUGUGUCCAGACAAAUGGAUUUGGACUUGCACACUCUUAAAGCUGCACCACAUCCCCCGUGGGGACACCCACCCACAAAAACGUUUCCAUGGGUUCACCUCCCAUGCGUGGGUGUGCUCCAGAUACUGCCAUGGUUGAGGGGCAGGAAUGGGUGGAUGCAAUUCCUGGGUCUUCUUUUGUUUCCCCUUGAAGAGAGGUGGCUACAGGGAGCUGUCUGCUCUCUGCAGGGACACAGGUUAUCCACAGCUCCUCAGAGCUGUAGAGGCCAAAAACAUGAAUGCACUGCAGCAUUGUUGUGCCUGCACACACACCAUGUACCCCUGCAGCUGCAGUGUCCUGCAGCCACCUCUGGAUACCAGGAGCUCACUGUGAUCAACCCUCUGGCCUUCCAACACGGGUGAAGACAACACUGAGGUAGCAGGUCAGAUACUCAUAUCAGAAAACCAGGUACUUGCUGCAGUGUUUCUCUAGUGUGACAAAUCAGAGACCCUGGGUCUUUAGUCAGACCAGGCACAGGUCAGGGACUGAAAUAUUUGUCCCACACCUACCUCAGCAAAGUUGUGGUUGUUGACUUGAGUGACAAGGGAAUUGAGAGGACUGGGAUGUCUCAGCCCAAAGUCCCUUAAGCCUUGGCUUGAUGGGUGAGAUCUUGAACACAGCCAGAGCCAAUGACAUUAAAGGCUUUAUAAAAGCAACAGUGCCAGUUUAAAAUCAACCUCCCACAUUACCAGCAGCCUCAGCAGGUGUAACGUGAUCCAGGUAGCCCAAGCCAGUGAGUAAACAAACUGCUGCUUUCUGAAUGAGCUGCACCAGAGAAAUGCUUCUAACUGGGAAUUACAGUGGCUAUUUGCACUCAAUGAGUUGUGCAAAUGAACAGGCUCCUAUGAUUCUAAUUCUUAUUCCACGCAGGUUUUUCUCUCUACACCCAAAAUGAAGUAGGGAAAAAGUUGUAGGGAAAAAAUUCCCUGAUAAGCCUGGAAAGUUUAGUGGGAUUGGGCCUGAUCUAGCUGCUUGAACUUCAGUGGGGUCUGUUGCUGGGUUUCCCUAAGUUAGAGAAAACAAUCCUGCUGCUUCCAAACUGCCAAGUCAGUCAGAGGAAUUUAAUAUUGUCCCUAAAGAACUGCUCUGCUGCUCUUCUGCUGGGUUCCCAGUUCCAUUUCCAGUAAGCAGUAUUAACUUAGGGGCUUUUUACUUGGCUACAACAUUGCCCAUUUUUUUCUCCUUCAGCUCCAGCUCUUAAACCUUCAUAGAGCCUUGCUGUGUAGGCCAGCUGAGCAGAGGCUGAAUGCACCAUUUUAGAUCCUUUCGGUGUUACUGCCUGGCUCCCCAACUGGAGAAGUGCACAAAAGCAUAGGAGGUGGAUCUGUCCAAGUAGAGCCUGGACUGUGACAAGUCUCAUGGGCUUGGCAGGGUCUAAGACUCACUGUGGAGUCCUUGGAAUGUGCAGACUGAGGGUACACCACACUGAGGAUCCAGCAGCCCAGCUCUGCUCCAGCGUUUCUGCCUCCCAGUCUGGGUCCCAUCCUGCCCCAGAGAGCCUCUCCCCCCUCCCCUGCCCACGCUCCACUUAUUCAUGAGUUAUGAUAACAUAUAAGCAGCUUAGAGAAUUCUUAUCAGAAUAAGUUGAACACAAUGCAACAUUUAACUCUUAAUGACAGCCACCUCUGACUGUGAGUGACAUGUUAUAAAUUAUGUUUGAACUGGAUUUUUUUUUCUUCAGAGGCAGAUAUUCCCUCUGCCACCCAGUCAGCCCUGUAACGUUGCACUUGUGGCCUUAAUCCCACUUGGAUGUGUGCCCUGCUGCCUCCACUUUCCGUCACUUGGGUACUUUAGUAUUCUUGAACAAGUGAACAAUCUUUGUUUCUGUACCUUAUUAGGCCAAAGACCAUAGCAGCGAGUGAUGGCAUCAGCAGGCCCUGCAGGCAGGAUUCUCUGCAGACACAGCCAACCUCCAACAAACCCCUUUUUAUCCUCCUGUUUCUAGGAAGAAUUAUGAUGGUGGUGCCCUGCUGUUGAUCAGUCAAAUCUGUGGUAGGCCUAGAGAUAAGUCCUGUAAGUGUGGUGUACUGUAAAACAGCGGCUCCCAUUCAUUAGUAGCUUGUGUGUAAUAAACCACCCAAAGGAGGGGGGUGGGGAGGGAGAGGGACGAGCAGCUGCAGUGUGCAGGAACAAACAACACAACUCAUUCUUGGGAGCCAAAACUUUCUAAUUUGCUGCUGGGCUGCUGGGAGCACUCAAAUUCUUUCUGAUAAUACGCUCGUGCCCUCAGUGUCUCUCCUGGUGUUUCCCAAGUCCUGCUCUCUCGAGGUCCCUGAGUCUGGGAUAGUUUCACUUUGAACCCAAAACACAGAGGGGAGCUGAGUGGGGAGGAGGGGAACACAUCAGUGCCCAGUGUUUGCAGACUCUGACAUAAGAAAUCCUGGACUCCCAAUGGUUCUGCUGGGAAUGGCUGGUGCAUGGAUCUGCUCCUGCAGCGAGUAAACAAAGCAUCACAUGGGCUGAGAGCAAGCAGGAGACAGGGAGCAAACCCAGGGCUAUCUGGGCAUGCAUGAGGACAGAGUGUCUCAGAUGUGUUACUGACUUACAGCCCACUGGAAUAUUUAGGAACCUCUGUCUCCCAAGAGGUAAAAACCUCAAACAAACCUCAAACGAGUAAUAGCUGAAAAAUUAUUUGGCUUAAUCUGUUCCAGUUUUUUUCACAAGUUCUGGUAAAUCUUUAUAGCUUGAAGGCAGGUGAAUUUAAAUGCCGUCUGCUAAAUAUAAUGUAAGAUGUUGCAUGUGUUGAGACACAAGUAGUUCCUAAUAUUUGCAUAGCUGUGAAUACAUUGGUGCUUUUGGAUCUCAGCCUUGGACCUUCCAACUGCCUGUGGAAUAUUUCAGACCAGGAUGUGAAAUUAUUGAGUGUUGCACAACUGCUCUCAUAGACCAGGCCUUUGUGCUGCUGUUUGUAUUAUCACAGGAAAAUGAAAUUAUUUUCAGAUAGCUGCUGCUCUGGAGGAGUGCUGUACCCUCACAGAAGAUGACAGUGGCUGCUUUUUCCAGGGAUGUACCAGGCUGUGAUGGUGCUUGGACAGUCUCCUAACAUUUGUAUAGACAAGGGUUACUUUAAUGGCAAAUUCGGGCUUGGGCCAAAAUGCAAGCACUCUUUAUGGAGACAAGGCAAAAUUGCAGAUUUGAGGUUUUCCACACUGCUGGAGGAGAUCCAUCUCCCUCCUCUCUAGGAGGAGCUGUGCUGUGAGUUUUAAGCUCUGAAAUGAGAGGGGCUUCUGCCUGACUGCUGCUUGGUAAAGUUACCCAGUGGGCUGAGAUGAAAACACCCUGAAGAGCAUGUUAAAUAAACCUGGGCACAAAAUGUUUUUGUUUUUUUUUAAUCUUCUGAAAGUUCAGGUAGUACAGCUUAGGUAGUUCUGAUUGUGGCAUUUUGAACAGAGUCAAAAUAUCUUGACAUUUUGGUUUUCCUUCCCCAGACUUAGGUAAGUAGGUAAGUUGAUAGCUUUAAAACCAAAAUUGGCUGCUCACUGCCCAUUCCCAGCAUAGAGCCUGACUACUCUAUGCUGUUUCCAGGAUUUUCAACUAGAACUGCAACAAGGAGCAUUUUAUGGGAAUCUCUCCAUGACUUUUCAAAGCAAAUUGCAAAGGCAACACCUCUGGUAAUUGCUGCACUGUGUAAGUAGAGGAGAGACCCAUCAAUUGGAAAACUCCAGCGCUGGUCAGACUGCCCUGCUCCCAGACAGCUGGCAGCACACAGCAGGUACCUACCUGUGGUCCUGCUGUCAGCAGGUUUGAAGUUAUAGAUGAGACCAGCAAACUGAGUGAAUGUUCUGGGUAGCUAUGAAACCGAGGGGUGGAGGGUUUUGUUUCAGAGGGUUUCAGCCCCAUCUCCAGCACAAGCAAAGCCAUGUAAUCCUUUCUUUUGCAAUUAGAGCUGAAAAAUAGCCCCGGGCCAGAGCACUUGCACAAGGAGCAAUUAGACAAGCUAGACACUGGGAAAAGCUAAAAAUAGCAGAUAAUCUGCCUCCACAAAAAUACCUUGAAUCAUUAGAAAAGGACAUUUUAUGAAUUUCCUGGGAAUCAUUUAGUACUUUAAUAUGUUCACAGUGUUCUGCCUGAAGGGGCUAUAUUCCAACUGCUGCUUGGCAGAGGAGACAAUUCAAGAGGAAAAAAGCUAUAAUAUGAAACAGCAAAUUGUGAGCAUCUGUGCACACAGCCCUGUGUGUCCUGGUACCACUGCUGGCACACACUCUCGGAGAACUUUCAGUGACGGGUGACAGCUUUGGGUUCCUGUCCCUCUGUUUCUGUGUGGGGCCUCCUGUUUACUCCCAGAGCUGCUCGUCCCCAUCCCAGCGGAACGCGCUGCAGCACUGCCAGCACCCCACCAGCCUCAUGGCAGGGCUGUGAUACCGGAAUCCCAGGAGCUCUUUCCCCACUGCUCUUGGAGCAGCAGCGAUUUUGGUGGCGAAGGGGCUGUGUGGGGUCUCGGGGCGCAGGAGGCACCGCUGGCGCUGGAGCUCCUGCGGGAGCUGGGCCCCCGAGGGGUCUGUGCAGGAGCUCAUCCAUGUCUGUGCUCUGCAUCCAAACUGGGGCUGUUUGCUCACCCAGCUGCUGCCGUGGGGUGACUGGGGCUGGGGAGGGCAGCUCUGGGGCUGGAAUUGCCGGGAUCCAGCCCAUCCCUUCGGCAUCCCCCGGCCUGAGUGAAACCGCAUAAAGUUUCUCCUAAAUCUGAAUUUAAAACGCUUUCAAAUUGACAACCUCCUUUUAAAUAAAAACAUUUAUGUUAAGCAAAAGGGAUGUUUGCUUUUACAAAUAAAUGGAAUUAUGGUUCUAAGAUCUGACUUAAUCCUGAAGUUCUUAGACUGCACAGUAAGUAGAAAAGAAAGAGGAUUGCUUGGAGGAGCAGGAGUUAGCAGGAUCAGGCUCCAUGUUACCUCUUCUUGCUUAUUUUCCUUCUGGCAUUUAAUAUACCUUUCUCAGAACUACCAAUGGCUAUUUAUAACAAAGACAAAAUAACUUCACAUCUAUUACCUAAUUGAAAAUAACAAGGGAUGGUACAGAGCGUGCCCAUCCAGUUUUCCUGCUGGAAAAAAUGUGAGGAUUCCUAAACAAACAAAAACUGCUCUACCUCCAAAUGUAUUCUUAUGCUAAAGUCAUGUCCUUUUGAAAUUAAUUUCAGGACUUUUCUCAAAUGUAUUGUAAUUCUUUGUUCUUUUUCUACACAGUUUUCUUUGUGAAAAUGUAUUUAAAAAUCUGCAUUGAGGUUUCAAAGGGUCUGAAGGAAGACAUUUACAGAGUAAUAAUACCAUUUGUAUUUGUUAUAUUUCUGAAAAUGGAAUUGCUGAUCAGACAACAUUAAAAUACUUUUGUAUUAUUUUUUUGUGUGGCUUCAUGACAUUUGUAUAUUUCCAGCUGUGAUUUUGGUACCUGUGUAGCCAGGUUAACAAGGAAAGUAGGAUCAUAAAUUUUAUUAUUACUCCAUCCAAGUCAAUCUGUUUUAUAACCCCACCUCUGGUCUCAGUACUCUCUGAAUUCAGGGAUUUGGUUUGAAGUACCUGUAUUCCAGCAGGAGAUUUCAUAUUCAGGACAGCUGAAGCUGAAAGAAGCCUGGGCAAGAAGAGAGAUUUGUUUAGUAGAUGCAUUCAAAUGAGUCUCUUCCAAAGAGUAAAAUGAAGAUUGAAUGAAAUUUAUAGUGGCAAUGUCUCUUUUGGGGACUGCAGAAAAACGCCUACACAGAAUUGGACCUGCAAUUCCCCGUCCCCUCAUCCCUCCCAGCACCUUCCUAUGGUUCCCUCUUUCCCACAGAACAAGGGAAUGGCUUUCUGCCAGGUCAGCUGGGGGACCUGGCUGGGGCUGCCACCUGCUGCAGCCC